This 465-nucleotide ribosomal RNA is filed under the name uncultured bacterium. Its description in RNAcentral is "partial 16S ribosomal RNA". It matches the Rfam family "Bacterial small subunit ribosomal RNA", at positions 28 to 507 of the family's 1533-position model. The record is from RNAcentral.
GACGAACGCUGGCGGCGUGCUUAACACAUGCCAGUCGAACGGAAAGGCCCCCUUGUGGGGUACUCGAGUGGCGAACGGGUGAGUAACACGUGAGUAACCUACCCUUGACUUUGGGAUAACUUCAGGAAACUGGGGCUAAUACCGGAUAGGAGCUCCUGCUGCAUGGUGGGGGUUGGAAAGUUUCGGCGGUUGGGGAUGGACUCGCGGCUUAUCAGCUUGUUGGUGGGGUAGUGGCUCACCAAGGCUUUGGCGGGUAGCCGGCCUGAGAGGGUGACCGGCCACAUUGGGACUGAGAUACGGCCCAGACUCCUACGGGAGGCAGCAGUGGGGAAUAUUGCACAAUGGGCGGAAGCCUGAUGCAGCAACGCCGCGUGCGGGAUGACGGCCUUCGGGUUGUAAACCGCUUUCGCCUGUGACGAAGCGUGAGUGACGGUAAUGGGUAAAGAAGCACCGGCUAACUACGUG